UGGGGAAUAUUGGACAAUGGGCGAAAGCCUGAUCCAGCCAUGCCGCGUGUGUGAAGAAGGUCUUCGGAUUGUAAAGCACUUUAAGUUGGGAGGAAGGGCAUUAACCUAAUACGUUAGUGUUUUGACGUUACCGACAGAAUAAGCACCGGCUAACUCUGUGACAGCAGCCGCGGUAAUACAGAGGGUGCAAGCGUUAAUCGGAAUUACUGGGCGUAAAGCGCGCGUAGGUGGUUUGUUAAGUUGGAUGUGAAAUCCCCGGGCUCAACCUGGGAACUGCAUUCAAAACUGACUGACUAGAGUAUGGUAGAGGGUGGUGGAAUUUCCUGUGUAGCGGUGAAAUGCGUAGAUAUAGGAAGGAACACCAGUGGCGAAGGCGACCACCUGGACUAAUACUGACACUGAGGUGCGAAAGCGUGGGGAGCAAACA
This 427-nucleotide ribosomal RNA is filed under the name uncultured bacterium. Its description in RNAcentral is "partial 16S ribosomal RNA". It matches the Rfam family "Bacterial small subunit ribosomal RNA", at positions 355 to 774 of the family's 1533-position model. The record is from RNAcentral.